Acinonyx jubatus (cheetah) is the source of this 1237-nucleotide long non-coding RNA. RefSeq lists it as uncharacterized. The transcript has 2 exons. NCBI's taxonomy places the organism in Eukaryota, Metazoa, Chordata, Mammalia, Carnivora, Felidae. The record is from RefSeq and is a predicted model, not a curated record.
CCCCACCCACACACACAUUUUUUUUUCCUUUCAGACUUACCUUCAAGAGUUUCCCAGGACUUCUGGGUUCCCUGGAGCAUCUCUGCAACAAAAUGCUGCUGUAGCAAUGGUCAGAAGAAACCCUUUAGCCCUUUCCUAUGUACCACAGGUUCUUCCGUACGAGGAAGAUAGAUGAUAGUUGCUGACCACAGAGUUCACGGGAUCAUCGUGAGGAUCCAAUAACACAGUGCACGGAGAAGUGCUUUGAAAUGGAAUGAGUAUGCACUCAGGGCGUUAAUAAUAUCCAGUCGCUUUCCUAGAUACCAAACAACCCGGGCAUCCCAAAGGUAUCACGGUCUCCAGCUCGCGCUUCCUGACUGGCUAGGAAAAGGAAAAAGGCAAAGACAUGCAAGAAAACACACAUGGUUUCUGAAGUGAAGACCCCUGUACCAGGAGCCUGAAAGCCCACAGGAAGUUAAGGAAGAGACCCCACAAGUGGGAGGCUUUGAACUUAAACCUUGGAAGAGCUGAAUCCCCGAGGCCUCACCUUUGCUUCCUACCCCCACCCAAACCUGCUAAAGGCCCCAGACACUAAAAAUACCCUGGCCACCUGCUGCCCAGGGAGGCAGUAAAUCACAGGUCCUCGAGCACCAGAAUCCAGGCCAGGCCCGGCCUAACACGACCAAUGGCAGCUGACAAGGCCCCACAGGUAAGUGCACUUCUUCCCAGGCAGGCUGUUAUCAUUAGCUUGUCCACUGCUCAGUUGGGAGGACGGUGUCCCGAGGAAGUGGGGAUGAUGUUGAAGGGUUCUUGGGCCAGAGGUGCUAACUGGAUGUGCGGUGAUCGGGGAGAAGUGUGUCAUGGGGAGGGGCUCCCAGGGAAAGGGGAGCAGCUCCUGUGGUGAGUGGCAGCUGCUAUAUGACAUAAAAUAAACUCAUCUCCCCCAAAUCCACAGAUCACGGCCUCAACUGCUGUCCUAUUACUCUGGGGCCACCAGAUGUCACUGUUACAGGGAGCAUGAAUAUUUGUGGUCCGGUGCUGGGACAGGCACUGAAUUUACGAAGACAGUUUGAAGCGUGGGCGCUCAUGGAGACACCAGUGACACCCAUGUCUUGCUUCCAGUUCUUAAGCUCUCACUAGUGAGAUCACGUCCGCAGGUACCACUACCAGUCCAAUCCCCAAAAUGUAAUAAAAAAAUGCCAAAAAUUUGUUCGCUUUUACUGUCAGUACAGUACCAUGAAUCAGAAAUGAGAAGCCA